GAGUUUGAUCUUGGCUCAGAUUGAACGCUGGCGGCAGGCCUAACACAUGCAAGUCGAGCGGUAGAGAGAAGCUUGCUUCUCUUGAGAGCGGCGGACGGGUGAGUAAUGCCUAGGAAUCUGCCUGGUAGUGGGGGAUAACGCUCGGAAACGGACGCUAAUACCGCAUACGUCCUACGGGAGAAAGCAGGGGACCUUCGGGCCUUGCGCUAUCAGAUGAGCCUAGGUCGGAUUAGCUAGUUGGUGAGGUAAUGGCUCACCAAGGCGACGAUCCGUAACUGGUCUGAGAGGAUGAUCAGUCACACUGGAACUGAGACACGGUCCAGACUCCUACGGGAGGCAGCAGUGGGGAAUAUUGGACAAUGGGCGAAAGCCUGAUCCAGCCAUGCCGCGUGUGUGAAGAAGGUCUUCGGAUUGUAAAGCACUUUAAGUUGGGAGGAAGGGCAGUAAAUUAAUACUUUGCUGUUUUGACGUUUACCGACAGAAUAAGCACCGGCUAACUCUAGUGCCAGCA
RNAcentral lists this ribosomal RNA (511 nucleotides) under uncultured bacterium. RNAcentral describes it as "bacterial SSU rRNA". It matches the Rfam family "Bacterial small subunit ribosomal RNA", at positions 9 to 513 of the family's 1533-position model. The record is from RNAcentral.